GAUGGAAAAACUGAGACGGAGGAGCAGAGACUCACAUAAUCACACACCUCGAGAGAAGCAGAGUCAGCUCUGGAAUGCAGGUCUCAUGGCCGCCAGGCCCACCCUACACAGCGCCUGGGUUCAGACAGCCUGGAGGCAGAGGAAUGAAGAGUUUGACACAUGUAACCUCAGCAGCUCGAAGUGUACAGGUCACAUCUCCAGCGACGGAGCUCACUCUCUUUUGCCCCUGCCUUUGCUAGAUGCCUCUGAUGGGAGGGGAUUUGGACUGUGAGGCUGCUGUGUCCCCCGCCCUCCACCUGGUCACCACAGACCCUGGCAAAGAAGAAGAUGGGGCACUGGAGUUCCACUUUACUAGGAGCCCCAGAGCCUUCCCGGCUGAGUUUGGGAACUCCUCCUGGGCAGACGGAUUUCACUGAGAUUUUACUCUGAAAUGGCCCCAUUGUGCUCCGGGUGGCGCCACGGAGGUGGGAGCGGCGCGGUGAGGAGGCUGCGGUCUGAGUCCCAGAGUGAUGAAGCUGGACACUGCCUUCUCCACCCUGGCAGAGAAUGGGCUGGCUUACCAACAGAGAGGAUUACACAGCUGAGGCAGGGGAUUAAGUGCAAGUCUGAACACUGAACGUCACCAACAUCAGGUGUUCCAGGCAGCCUACGAGAGACUCAGCAAAGACAGGUAAUUUGAAUUGAAUGGAUCGUGAUGUCAACACCCCAGAUGGAGCAGCUCAGCUGGCCAGAGCUGCAGGUGAAGGAAUCUAAGAACGAGGAGGAAGUUAACAUAAUUGCAAGACAGCCAGACACACCCCAGCCAGGUGGGAUGAGGAAGCUAAGACGAGCUCCUUGAAAUAUGUCACAGAAAAACAGAAGGCCAGUCCUUCCCAGCCCACUGCCGGACCAGCGGACCUCUGGGUCACAGGAUGAGCAGAGGUAUGGAUACCCGCGCCCAUUGCCAUCUUCACUGCUGGGGGUGAGUGGGGUUCUGGCCUUCUUGGGCCCCACAGUACUGAGGAGGGGGCUGACAGGCAGAGAGGUGUUUGGGUCGAGGUAAUCGCUCACCUGCCCAGCAUCCAGUAGCCUGCAACGGAGGCCCCUCCUGGACUGUGCUCGCCUGCUGAUCCGCGCCCCCUGCCCCUCUCUGACACCGUGACCUUGGCCAAGGUCACCGAGAAAGGCCCAGUUGGGCUGUGGGGGCGGGUAGGAGAGUGAACACGAGACAUCCCGAUCCUUGGGACGCUGCUCUUUCACCUGUCCUCCCCUGCAGAUCUGAAGCUAAUAACAGAAGCCAGGUCUAUUAAAAACAGCA
Molecule: non-coding RNA, 1297 nt
Organism: Vicugna pacos (alpaca)
Lineage: Eukaryota; Metazoa; Chordata; Mammalia; Artiodactyla; Camelidae
Source: RefSeq, a predicted model, not a curated record